GAUUACGGCCAUACCACACUGACAACGCCCGAUCUCGUCUGAUCUCGGAAGCUAAGGAGAGUUGGUCUUGGUCAGUACUUGGAUGGGUGACCGCCUGGGAAUCGCUGGUGCUGUAAGCA
RNAcentral lists this ribosomal RNA (119 nucleotides) under Cottoperca gobio. The record is from RNAcentral. Lineage: Eukaryota; Metazoa; Chordata; Actinopteri; Perciformes; Bovichtidae.